AUUGAACGCUGGCGGCAGGCCUAACACAUGCAAGUCGAGCGGAUGAAGGGUGCUUUCUCCUGGAUUCAGCGGCGGACGGGUGUGUAAUGCCUAUGAAUCUGCCUGGUAGUGGGGGAUAACGUCCGGUAACGGGCGCUAAUACCGCAUACGUCCUGAGGGAGAAAGUGGGGGAUCUUCGGACCUCACGCUCUCUGCUGAGCCUAGGUCGGAUUAGCUAGUUGGUGGGGUAAAGGCCUACCAAGGCGACGAUCCGUAACUGGUCUGAGAGGAUGAUCAGUCACACUGGAACUGAGACACGGACAAGACGACUACGGGAGGCAGCAGUGGGGAAUAUUGGACAAUGGGAGAAAGCAUGAUACAGCAAAGCCGCGGGUGUGAAGAAGGUCUUAGGAUGGUAAAGAACUUUAAGGUGGGAGGAAGGGAAGUAAGUUAAUACCUUGCUGUUUUGACGUUAACAACAGAAUAAGCAACGGCUAACUUCGUG
RNAcentral lists this ribosomal RNA (484 nucleotides) under uncultured bacterium. RNAcentral's name for it is "partial 16S ribosomal RNA". It matches the Rfam family "Bacterial small subunit ribosomal RNA", at positions 30 to 507 of the family's 1533-position model. The record is from RNAcentral.